This 584-nucleotide ribosomal RNA is filed under the name uncultured bacterium. RNAcentral's name for it is "partial 16S ribosomal RNA". It matches the Rfam family "Bacterial small subunit ribosomal RNA", at positions 355 to 1375 of the family's 1533-position model. The record is from RNAcentral.
UGGGGAAUUUUGGACAAUGGGCGAAAGCCUGAUCCAGCAAUGCCGCGUGUGUGAAGAAGGCCUUCGGGUUGUAAAGCACUUUUGUCCGGAAAGAAAUCCUUGGCUCUAAUACAGUCGGGGGAUGACGGUACCGGAAGAAUAAGCACCGGCUAACUACGUGCCAGCAGCCGCGGUAAUACGUAGGGUGCAAGCGUUAAUCGGAAUUACUGGGCGUAAAGCGUGCGCAGGCGGUUUGCUAAGACCGAUGUGAAAUCCCCGGGCUCAACCUGGGAACUGCAUUGGUGACUGGCAGGCUAGAGUAUGGCAGAGGGGGGUAGAAUUCCACGUGUAGCAGUGAAAUGCGUAGAGAUGUGGAGGAAUACCGAUGGCGAAGGCAGCCCCCUGGGCCAAUACUGACGCUCAUGCACGAAAGCGUGGGGAGCAAACAGGAUUAGAUACCCUGGUAGUCCACGCCCUAAACGAUGUCAACCAGUUGUUGGGGAUUCAUUCCUUAGUAACGUAGCUAACGCGUGAAGUUGACCGCCUGGGGAGUACGGUCGCAAGAUUAAAACUCAAAGGAAUUGACGGGGUCAUAGCUGUUUCCU